ACAGACUCAGAGGCGUCUAACGAUCAGGAGAAGAAGCGGGACGUCGAGGCUCUGUUGGAAAUCAUGGGGGACCUGUAUCCAGAUUUUGCAUCAGCGCUGAAGGCUAUGCGUGGGACUGCCUUAGAGCGAGGGGAGCCGUCGAGGGAUCAGGGGGAGAUGGCCGAGCUCGACCAACCUACGUCCACAGCUGUGGCAGCAGAUCUCUUGCCACGAGAUGGAGACUAGAUUUAUGAUUGUGCUUUUAUUUUCCCGUAAAACUUGCAUAUUACAAAUUACUAGGGAUUAACCCGGGCUACGCCCGGGAUUUUUAUUUUUUUCUAAUUGAAGUUGUUAAAUUAUUUAUAUUUAGGCUAUGAUUUAUAUUUAUAUAAAUGUUAAAAUGCAUGUCAUAAUUAAAAUUUAUUUUUAAAUUUUAACACGUUAAAUUAACAUAUUUUUUACUAUUUAAAUAUUUUUUUGUAAUUUUAUUGGCUAUCUAGUUAUCAUAUUUAACAAAACUAUCUUUUGAGUGUUGGAAUAAAUGUUUUAGAGAUUUUAUUAAACUGCAGAGUAUUUUUGGAUCGACCAUAUGCUCAACAUUCGAUCGAUCCGUAAAAUGAUGGUCGAUCUCCUUGGCCAAGUAAGUACAAUUUUAGCAAAAAUAUCUUUUAUUUUCAAAUAUUAAGUAUAUAACUAUUCUUUUUAAUAUUUUUUAAUUGUAUUUUUGAUUAAAUUAUUGUAUUAUAAUGGUUAUGUAAAUAUUUUUUGUGAUGUUUGAAUUUUUGUUGUUCGUAUACUUAACCUAGAUGAUAUUGAUGUUUAACAAUUUAUUGUUUUCUGGAAAUAGAAAAUAAUGAUAUAUCAAAACGUAUCUAAUACUUGUUAAAUGAUAUUAUAAUGUAAAUUACAUCUAUUAUUUGAAAAUAAACAUUUGUUGUUUUUAUUUUUAUUUUAAAUCAGAAAUUAUUUUUAUUUAAAAACAUUAUUCAUAUAUAAUAUAAUAGUUUAAGUUUGGAAGAUUAAUCUAAAUAUAUAAAUUAUGUAUAUUUUUUAAAAAAUAAUUUAAGAUAUUAUAUAUUGAGUAUCUGAAUAAAAUCUGAAUUUCUUAUCUUGAAAAUCAGAUAUUUAUAUUUUUGUCUUCAUGUUAUACUCACCAGUCCAUCAUUGAUAUUUAUAACUCAGUACGUUUUUUUAAAAACUUAGUUUUAAGUAAUAAACGAAUUUAAUAAAUUAAAUUCAUCACCUAUAAUGUUCUGUAAACUAUAUUUGAAAAGUCUCUAAAAUUAUAUUUUAAGCAUAAUAUUAUUAUUAUUUAAUUUAAGUUAUUUUAAACAUAAUAUAUGCUAAACCAACUUAAAUUAUAUUUACAAUAGGACCAUCCUAAACCGGUUAGUAAACCAAAAACAAUACUAAACCAAUAUGAACCAAUACUUGAUUCGGCGAGGAAGGAAGUGUUUCGGGAUAAACGUUUGAAUGGUUAUUAACUGAAAUGGUUUGAUCAUGAAAGAGUUAGUAUGAAUAUUAACAAUAAAAUUAUGGAUUAAAUUAAUUUAAAUUUGUAAGAAUACCUUUGAGUCUAUGAAAAACAAUUCAAUUCCCAUGAAUAAGUUUGGCUUUUGGAAGUUGGAGGUUUCCCAACAAUGAAUCCACAUAACAAAAAGUUUGUUGUUAUAAAAAAAUCUCAUUCAAGGUCAUUAAAGGUUUUUGGGACGGCAAGAGUUGAUAGUGAAACCAUUUUUUUGCUCGAGUGCUUUGAAAUUUUCCUUAAUAGUGUGAGAUUGAUGUGGAUGGAAUAAUGAGUUUUAUAGGGACUUUUUUGAUGUAAAACUAUACAUUUUUUUUUGUUUAAUGUGGUAUUUCUAUUUUUUAUAUAAUUUACUACCAUUUUAAGAUAGAAGUACAUUUUAAGAUAGAUGCUUAAAUCUUAAUGUACUUUUUCCAUUUUUUAAAAUAUUAUUUCCAUUUCUUAUAUUUUUAUUUACGUAAUAUCUAUAUUUUAUAUUUUUAAAUAGAUAUUUAAAUAUUAAUGUACUUUUUCCAUUUUUUAAUUGUGUAUUUACUUAUAUUAUAUAUUUUACAUUUUAAGAUAGAUGUUUAAUGCUUGAUGAACUUUUUCCAUUUUUAAAAAAAUUGUGUAUUUACUUAUUAUUACAUAUAUAAUUCAUAUAUUAUAUAUUUACAUUAUUUACUUAUUAUUUAUUUUUCUGUAUAUGUAUUUCCAUUUCUUGUACUUUUAAUUUACUUAAUAUCUCUAUUUUACAUUUUAAGAUAGAUGUUUAAAUCUUAAUGUACGUUUUCCAUUUUUUUAAAUUGUAUAUUUCCAUUUGUUAUACUUUCUAUUUACGUAAUAUCUAUAUUUUAAAUUUUAAUAUAUAUUUUUAAAUCUUAAUGUAAUUUCCCAUUUUUUAAAUUUGGUAUUCACUUAUAUUAUAUAUUUACUUAUUAUUUAUUUUUCUUUAUAUUGUGUAUUUCUAUUUCCUAUAAUUUCUAUUUACUAAUAAUUUUAUAUUUUAAGAUUGAUUUACAUUUUAAGAUAGAUGUUUAAAUACUAAUGUAUUUUUUCCAUUUUUUUUAAAUUGUGUAUUUCCUUUUCUUAUACUUUCUAUUUACUUAAUAUCUAUAUUUUACAUUUUAAGAUAGAUGUUUAAUAUUUAAUGUACUCUUUCCAUUUUUUAAAAAUUGUGCAUUUACUUAUUAUUGUAAAUAUAAUUCGUAUAUUUAUAUAUUUAUAAUAUUUACUUAUUAUUUAUUUUUCUAUAUAUUGAGUAUUUCUCUUUCUUAUACUUUAUAUUUAGUUAAUGUCUAUAUUUUAUAUUUUAAGAUAGAUGUUUAAAUCUUUGCGUAUUUUUCCAUUUUUAAUGUAAAACGGCAAUGUUUAAUAGAAGAACGUGGAUAAAUAGUCAAAUAGUUAUAUUUAUGUUUUUUUUUUCUUUUUUUAAUAAAAUUGUAAUGUUACAUUAUGAAGAUAACCCGUUUUUUUAGUGAACAAUGGUAAUCUUACAUAUGUUUAAUGUAGUUUUUCCAUUUUUUUAUGUUGUAUGUUUACAUAUUAUUUUUAUUUUUAAAUGUAAAAUGGUAAUUUUACAUAUGUUUAAUGUAGUAUUUCCAUUUUUUAUGGUGUAUGUUUACAUAUUAUUUAUUAUUUUCGAAAUUAUAUAUAAUUUUCUUUUUUGUUUAAUGUAGUUUUUUCAUUUUUUAUGUUGUAUGUUUACAUAUUAUUUUCUUAAAAUAAAAAUGUAAAAUGGUAAGCUUACAUAUGUUUAAUGUAGUAUUUCCAUUUUUAUGUUGUAUGUUUUACAUAUAUUUAUUAUUUUUAAAAUUAUAUAUAAUGUUUUUUGUUGUUUUUAUAAAACGGUAAUGUUACAUGAUGGAGAUAAACCGUCUUUUUUUAAGUGAAAAAUAGUAAUCUUACAUAUGUUUAAUAUAGUUUUUCCAUUUUUUUAUGAUGUAUGUUUACAUAUUUUUUAUAAUUUUCAAAAAUAAGUAAUAUUAAAAUGUAAAACUAUAUUUUAAGCCACGUGUCAUCUUUCGAGAUUAUAUUAUAUAUUUACUUAUUAUUUAUUUUUCUUUAUAUUGUGUAUUUUUAUUUCUUAUACUUUCUAUUUACUAAUAAUUUUAUAUUUUAAGAUUGAUUUACAUUUUAAGAUAGAUGUUUAAAUACUAAUGUACUUUUUCCAUUUUUUUAAAUUGUGUAUUUCCUUUUCUUAUACUUUCUAUUUGCGUAAUAUCUAUAUUUUACAUUUUAAGAUAGAUGUUUAAAUCUUAAUAUACUUUUUUCAUUGUUUUUAAGUUGUGUAUUUAUUUUUCUUAUAUUUUCUAUUUACUUAAUAUCUAUAUUUUACAUUUUAAGAUAGAUGUUUAAUAUUUAAUAUACUCUUUCCAUUUUUAAAAAAUUGUGCAUUUACUUAUUAUUGUAUAUAUAAUUCGUAUAUUUAUAAUAUUUACUUAUUAUUUUUUUUUAUAUAUUGAGUAUUUCUCUUUUUUAUACUUUAUAUUUAGUUAAUGUCUAUAUUUUAUAUUUUAAGAUAGAUGUUUAAAUCUUUACGUAUUUUUUUAUUUUUAAUGUAAAACGACAAUGUUUAAUAGAAGAACUUGGACAAAUAGUCAAACAUAUUUAUGUUUAUUGUAGUAUUUCCAUUUUUAUGUUGUAUGUUUUACAUAUAUUUAUUAUUUUCGAAAUUAUAUAUAAUGUUUUUUGUUUUUUUUAUAAAACGGUAAUGUUACAUUAUGGAGAUAAGCCGUCUUUUUUUUAAAGUGAAAAAUAGUAAUCUUACAUAUGUUUAAUGUCACGUGUCAUCUUUCGAGAUUAUAUUAUAUAUUUACUUAUUAUUUAUUUUUCUUUAUAUUGUGUAUUUUUAUUUCUUAUACUUUCUAUUUACUAAUAAUUUUAUAUUUUAAGAUUGAUUUACAUUUUAAGAUAGAUGUUUAAAUACUAAUGUACUUUUUCCAUUUUUUUAAAUUGUGUAUUUCCUUUUCUUAUACUUUCUAUUUGCGUAAUAUCUAUAUUUUACAUUUUAAGAUAGAUGUUUAAAUCUUAAUAUACUUUUUUCAUUGUUUUUAAGUUGUUUAUUUCUUUUUCUUAUAUUUUCUAUUUACUUAAUAUCUAUAUUUUACAUUUUAAGAUAGAUGUUUAAUAUUUAAUAUACUCUUUUCAUUUUUUAAAAAUUGUGCAUUUACUUAUUAUUGUAUAUAUAAUUCGUAUAUUUAUAUAUUUAUAAUAUUUACUUAUUAUUUUUUUAUAUAUUGAGUAUUUCUCUUUUUUAUACUUUAUAUUUAGUUAAUGUCUAUAUUUUAUAUUUUAAGAUAGAUGUUUAAAUUUUUACGUAUUUUUCUAUUUUUAAUGUAAAACGGCAAUGUUUAAUAGAAGAACUUGGAAAAAUAGUCAAACAUAUUUAUGUUUAUUGUAGUAUUUUCAUUUUUAUGUUGUAUGUUUUACAUAUAAUUAUUAUUUUCGAAAUUAUAUAUAAUGUUUUUUGUUUUUUUUUUAAUAAAACGGUAGUGUUACAUUAUGGAGAUAAGCCAUCUUUUUUUUAAGUGAAAAAUAGUAAUCUUACAUAUGUUUAAUGUAGUUUUUCAUUUUUUUAAUGCUGUAUGUUUACAUAUUUUUUACAAUUUUCGAAAAUAAUUAAUAUUAAAAUGUAAAACUAUAUUUCAUGCCACGUGUCAUCUUUCGGGAGAAAUUUUUUCCGCUGAUGUGGACGUCCUAUGGAGCCUCAAAAGCUCCCUUUUAUUAGUAGAGAUUUUUGGGUUUCGAUAUUUUGGGUAUUAGGUAUGUCGGAUCUAGGAAAUUUUGUACCGAUUAGAUUGUUUAGAAUUUUGGAUCGUAUCGGUUUGGUACUCGGAUCAGUUCCAUUUGUUAAAAUUUAAAUCUAUAGAAAAUUACUGACUUUAUCCAAAAUUACUAGUUCGGAUUCGGUUUUUUUAUAUCCAAUUUUUUUUUCAAAAAUAACAAAAAUAUCUUCAAAUAAAUGAAAAUAUGUGCUACCUAAAAAUUAAAUAAUAUAUUCAAAUUUAUAACUAUUAUUUUAAAUAUUUGAAUUAUUAUAAAUAUUAACAUAACUAAUAUUUCUAGAUAUAUUCUAUCCGUUUCAUAAUUGAUGAUGUUUUAGAAGAUUUUUGGUGUUUCAAAAUAUAUGAUGUUUUGAUAUUUUUAUGUUAUUUUUAACUCUAUUGAAAACUGUGUAACCAAUUAGAUGUUGUAAUCAUUUUUGUAACUGGUUGGAUGAUUUUUAAAUUAUAUUUUGAAACUACUUUUUAAGAGAAAAGUAAAUUUCUUAAUCUUUGUGCAUUAAAGAAUAACAUCAUGUAUUGUGAAACAGAGGGAGUAUAUGUUUACAUUUCGGAUAUUUUUGGAUAUAUGUAAUUUUCGGGUUCAGUUCAUGCUAGGGUUUGAUUUUUCAGAUAUAGAAAAUUAUGUAUCGUUCGGAUAUUUAUGUCGAAACAGGUUGGUUUGAAUUUCGGAUCCGUUAAGUCUAGAAAUUACUUAUUAAUAUAUUAUGUUUCAUUUAAGUUUAAUUAUUAUACUUUUUACUAUGUCUAAAUUUUAGUUCUCGACGAUGUUGCUCUGCUUGAUCGGAUGGUGGAAAAUGGUCAUCCACCUGACCUUGUCACUUACAGAACAAUUGUAAACAGAUUGUGUAAGAUAUUAUACAGUGCCGCCAUGACGUCAUAGCGAUGCUCAAAAUCUUUUCAGUGAAAUGCACGAGAAAGGAAUCGUUCCGGAUGUAAUCACCUACAGUUGUAUGAUAUAUGGUUUUUGUAUCUCUGGUAGAUGGAGUGAUGGCGAGCGGUUGUUGCGCGAAAUGGUAGAAACAGAUAUCAAUCCCAAUGUUGUAAAACACAUUGAUCAAUGCAUUGGUCAAAGGAGGCAAGUUCAUUGUGCCGACGAACUAUACAGUGAGAUGCUCCACAUGGGUGUAUAUCCUAAUACAGUCACAUAUAAUUCAAUGAUCGAUGGACUAUGCAGACAGAACCGCUUAGAUGAGGCAAAACGUACAUUCGAUUCGAUGGGUAGUAAAGGCUGCUCUCCAAAAGUAGUGACCUUCACUACACUCAUUAAUGGCUAUUGUAAGGCUGGGAAGGUUGACGAUGGGAUGGAGCUUGCCCACGAGAUGUACCAAAGAGGAAUAGUUGCUGAUGAAGUUACUUACAAAACUUUGAUUUAUGGGUUUCGUCAUGUGGGUCAUUGAAGCCCUAGACAUUUUCCAGGAGAUGAUUUCCAGUGGUAUAUGUCCUGAUACCAUUACUAUCCGGAAUAUGCUGAUUGAUUUAUGGAGUAAGGAGGAACUUAAAAUGGCUGUGACAAUGUUUUAGUAUCUCCAGAAGAGUAUGGUAUGUCCUCCUCAACACAUAUUUUUUUCAAUUUCUUUGCUUACCUUUCGUGUGUUUGGAGAAGAAUGUAAACAUAUCCAGGAAAGUUUGCUACCAAAUUUCCAAUUUCAGCUGAAAAAUACAGAAUCCUUAUUAACCCGCUGAUUGGUUGGGUGUGCUUGUUUUGCAGCGUUAAUAAUUACAGGAUGAAUGAAGAACAAAUGUUUUUAUGUCUUUGGCAGCAAAGCUUCAGUGCCAUUUAAUUUUUGUUGGAUCUGUUCCUUACUAAUUUUUUAUCAGAUUACAAAAUAUUGAAAUUUCUUUAAGCCUGGUGAUUUUGAAUUUUAUUUUUAUUUUUUUAUUUUCAUUUUUUAUUUUAUAGUUUUUUGAGUAUUUUUUUAUUUUUCUAAUGGCUUUAUCACCAAAGUAGUAAUGAUUUAUGCAUAUAUAUGUGGAUUGGCGUUUGCUAAUCAAAAUACCAAAAUAGAUAAUACAAUAUAUCAAAUUUUACAAAUGUUACCUGGAGAUGUGCACAUGCCUACAUGUUUAUAUGUGUACAUGAUUACAUUUGUACAUGUGUACUUUUUUUAUGUGUACAUAUAUAUAUUAUUAAAAAAUAAAUAGGCGGAUAGUGUUAAAAUAAUUAUUUGUGGAUUGAUUUAUAUGUGAAUAGUGAAAACGUACUCGUCUAUAUACUCUUUGAGAUACACAUCCACACAAAAAUUAUAAAAUGAUCUGAAAAAUUCAUCAAGAAUUUGAGACUAAUUACAACAUUUCAUUUUGACUAGCUCACUUAUUACUAACUAUUGUUUUCCAGUGAACUUCCGACGGACAAUGCUGUUGGAAAAUUUCCUCGAAAAUUUCUAACAAAAAGCAUUGGUCUGGAUUUCCAUGUGUUCAUAUGUACAUAUUUACAUGUGUGCAUGGUGUACAUGUACAUAUUAUUAAAGAAACGUACAUUUCGUUUGUAAUGUACAAAUGCAACAUGAUUAUACACAUUACAUUUGAGAAGUUUCAAAUCACAUUUGAGAAGUUUAAAAUCAUAACACAAAAUAUCAGAAAACACAAAAGAUGAAAGUGAUGUACAUAACAUAUAGGUGAUUUUAAUGGUUUUCACAAACAUCUAAAUGUACACUUAAUUAAUAAACAUCUACAUGUACAUUUAGAAUGUACACAUGUAUUCGAUUUUUUUAAUAAUUAAUUUAUUAAUGACAUCAUUAUAAUUAUGUCAUCUUCUUCCCGAGUCCCUUAGGGUUACAAAUUUUACAAGAAAUUUGAGGAUUUUUAACUCAUUGGUAGGAACAAAAUGAAAGACAGCUUAAAAACAUUUAACUUGGUCUUAUUGCUCUUGAUUUCAUGUUGAUUUGUUAGCUGCGAUUUGUCGGCGGUAAAAUGAAACAAAAUGAAGAAGGAAAACAUAUGCAUGACAGCACGAUAAACGUUUCUGUGACCGGAGCUUGAGGGUGACGACGAGUGCAGCGGCUCAGGCAAAGAAGCUUACUGUGGUCAGGGUUACCCGCAUUCGAGCUCGUGACUCAAUCAUAUUCGCGACAGAGAGUUUUGAUGAGGGUUGGGAUAGUUUUGACGGUAAUUGAAAUUCAUAAAGGAAAGAGAGAGAGAAUAAAUCUUGACCAUUCAGUAUGUAAUUAAAUCAAUGGUUUAUAGCAAUUCAAGUGACUUUAUUAAUUGAUGCUAGUUUUUCUUUUUCUUUUUUAACGUUGGGAACACAUUACAUCAUCAUAUAAUCACUAGAUCUAUUACAUAUGAUGAUCAACUACCUGCAACAUAUGUGAUAUUGAUGAAUAGCUCCACGAAUAAUGAUUCCACGAUGAAGCUCUUCCCGAAACACUUGAAACCACAGACGGUUUUGCAUGUACGACAUCCUCGAUAGACAGGUUCUCACCGCAACAAGCGACCACAACGAACGGCUCUGUUUACAGUACUCUGGAACCUCCGAAAGCUUUGCAUCCUAUAAUCUACAAGAAAUUGCAUAGUAUGGGAUUCAAACCCCAUACCUAGGUGUAGAAGCCUUUUAACCAAUAGGCUAGGGUGCUUCCACAAUUGAUGCUAGUUUAGUUAGAUAUAUUUUCUAAAAGGAUGUAACUGGAUCAGUUAGGAGACAAGGAAAAAGUUAAGAAAAAGUGUCAUGAGGAGUACAUAGUGCUUUAGAGUGUAAAGAAGUAGAUGUGAUGUGACCUAUUGUGUAAAGGGUAAUUCUCCUAAAUAGACUAUUUUUAAGUUUUGAUCACAAAAAUAUACUACAAUGAGGAAAAUGACCAAAAUGUUUCAUUUAAUAGGUAAAAGGAACCUAAUACUCUAGAUAUAAAAAAAAUUAAAAAAUUAAAAAUAAAAUAAAAUAAAAAUAAAUAAACUUUUUUUAUAGUUUUAGAUUAUAUGUUUUCAAAUUCGAAUUUUUUUAUAAUUUUUGUUACAUAAAUUUUUUUUUCAAAAUUUUUAUUUUAUUUUUUUUUUCAAAUUUUGUUUUUGUAAUUUGAAAAUACUAUUUGAAACUAUUUUUAAAAUUUUUAUUAUAAAAUUUUUAAUAUUUAUUUUUUAUUUUAUAAAAUUUUAAAUCUCAAUCCCAAAUCUCCACCCCUCAGCUCUAAACCUUAAGAGUUAGAUUAGUUAACUUUAAUGAUAUAUAUGUAUAUUUACUUCUUUAAUAAAAUAUUUUGGUUAUUUUGAUAUUUAUGGUCUAUAUUUGUGACAUAAUUUUUUUUAGUGCUAUUUUAGGCUAUUUCCCGAUUGGUUAUAUUCGGUUUGAUAAAAAGUACAAAACCAACCCUAACUAAGUGUUCUUCAUUUCAAUUGAUUCCUUGUCUUAACCAGCGACUCAUCGCGCACUCUUUUAACUCCCAGUCUUCUGAUUCUAAACUUGUAUUCUUGCAAGAGAAGAUGGAUCGUAUCGGAAGUCUACCCGAAGAGGUUCUUUCUCAUAUACUGUCUUUCCUGACGACAAAGGAAGCUGCUAUAACCUCGAUUCUCUCCAAAAGAUGGCGCAAUCUCUUUACACUCGUCCCUAGCCUCGACAUUGACGACUCUGUGUUUCUUAACCCGGAAGAGGGUAAGCGGGAACGAGAUGGUAUCCUCCAAAGCUUCAUGGAUUUCGUGGAUAAGGUUUUGGCUUCGCAGGGCGAUACUCCCAUCAAGAAAUUCUCCUUGAAAUGCAAAACUGGCAUCGACACAGAUCGUGUGAAUCAAUGGAUAUGUAAUGUCCUCCAACGUGGCGCUACAAGCCUUGAACUUGUCCUCGAUUUUCCUGGAUCAGACGACAAUUGGGAUUCCGAUUAUAUGUAUCUUCUGCCUAGAGAGCUGUUCGUUAGUAGCAAACUGGUGGAGCUGAAAUUAAGAAGCGAGUUUGGUGUUGAUUGGUGGCGUGGAGGUACGGACACUUUCUUACCAAUGCUUAAGACUCUCCGCUUUGAAUCUACGUGGAUUCUGUUGUGUGAUGAUCUCGAGGUGUUUCUCUCUGCUUUCCCUGUUCUCGAGGAGUUCUACAUGGCUGAUAUCGAGUGGCCUCAAUCGGACCAAUCCGCGUCGAGUCAGAGCCUCAGGAAGUUAACUAUCCAUGCCGGCGGUUUCCAAGAUUUUCGAAAUCCGAAGAGGAUUUCGUUUGAUAGUCCGAGUCUCGUUUACCUUGAGUAUUCUGAUUUUGUUGCCGCGGAUUAUCCGAAAGUUAACUUGCCCAAUCUAGCCGAGGCUGUGCUCGACCUUAAGGUGACUCUACAUCAGAUUGACUUAAUACGAGAACCAGAUGAUGAAAAUGUUGUUUCUCUACGUCUUCGGAAUGUGUGGAAGCUCAUAAGAGGGUUAAGAAAUGUUAAUAAACUUUUCAUUUCUGCUGAGACUCUUGAGGUCAGUUGUUAUUCAUCUGAAACAUCAAAUGUUUUUUGAAACAAAUGUUAAUGUUGGGACUUAGGAUGGGUUUUUGUCUUGUUUUUCAGGCACUGUCUCUAUGCUGUGAGUCGAUGCCGGUGUUCAACAACCUCAAAUCUCUACAUAUUAUUUGUGAAGCGGAUCUGGGAUGGCAAGCGAUGCCGGCUCUCUUAAGGAACUGUCCACGUUUAGAAACUCUAAUCCUCAAGGUAUACGCCCAAAACAUUGUACAAUGGUACUUAGAGUUCCUUUAUUGACUCGCUUCCUCUUUCAAGGGUCUCUUACACCAUGUGACUGACAAGUGCGGGGAUGCUUGCGACUGCAUAUCUCGGGAGGACAAAGGUCGUUCACUAUCAUCAUGUCCAGUGAAGAAGCUGGAGAUCAGAGGGUUUCAAGGAACAGUUAGAGAGAAAGAGAUGAUAAGGCAUUUCUUGGAGUCUUUCCCUUGUUUGGAUGAGAUGGAAGUAUAUGCCGACCAGAGUGAUAAUGAUCCUACAAACGUUGAAGUAAAUAGAAUUUAUAAAAUCAUUGCAUACAAGGUCCACGGGAAGGAGAUUUCUACUCAUACUGUGCUACAGUCGAAGGGUAUGUCCCAAAGCCAGAUGGAGGAGAUCUCCUCUCAGGUAUAUUUAAUUACAUUAAAGAAAACCAUUACGGUUUUGAGUUAACUAAUCAGUCCUUUUCUUGUUUUCUGCAGUUUACACCCCGCAAUAACAGAAAUAAGUAUGGUAUGGUUUACAUCUUGCAUGGAACUCAUCCUCCACCGCAGGAGAUCUCUCAGUACUACAUUAAGGAGCUGCUUAAUGAGGAAUAUAAGGAGAGGCAACGAGUCCAUGAUGCUAUGUUUGAUGGAAUUGUUGAGCAGUACCCGAUGAUAGCAUCGGCAUUGAAGGCUCGACAAGCUGCAACAGACUCAGAGGCGUCUAACGAUCAGGAGAAGAAGCGGGACGUCGAGGCUCUGUUGGAAAUCAUGGGGGACCUGUAUCCAGAUUUUGCAUCAGCGCUGAAGGCUAUGCGUGGGACUGCCUUAGAGCGAGGGGAGCCGUCGAGGGAUCAGGGGGAGAUGGCCGAGCUCGACCAACCUACGUCCACAGCUGUGGCAGCAGAUCUCUUGCCACGAGAUGGAGACUAGAUUUAUGAUUGUGCUUUUAUUUUCCCGUAAAACUUGCAUAUUACAAAUUACUAGGGAUUAACCCGGGCUACGCCCGAGAUUUUUUAUUUUUUUCUAAUUUAAGCUGUUAAAUCAUUUAUAUUUAGGUUAUGAUAUAUAUUUAUAUAAAUGUUAAGAUGCAUGUCAUAAUUAAAAUUUGUUUUUGAAUUUUAACACGUUAAAUUAACAUAUUUUUUACUAUUUAAAUUUUUUUUUAAUUUUGUUGGCUAUCUAGUUAUCAUAUUUAGCAAAACUAUAUGUUGAGUGUUGGAAUAAAUGUUUUAGAUAUUUAAUUAAACUGCAGAGUAUUUUUGGAUCGACCACAUGCUCAACAAUCGAUUGAUCCGUAAAAAGAUGGUCGAUCUCCUUGGCCAGGUAAGUACAAUUUUAGCAAAAAUAUCUUUGAUUUUCAAAUAUUAAGUAUAUAACUAUUCUUUUGAAUAUUGUUUAUGUAAAUAUUUUUUGUGAUGUUUGAAUUUGUGAUGUUCGUAUAUUGAUGAUAUUGAUGUUUAACAAUUUAUUGUUUUCUGGAAAUAGAAAAUAAUGAUAUAUCAAAACGUAUAUAAUACUUGUUAAAUGAUAGUAUAAUGUAAAUUACAUCCAUUAUUUGAAAAUAACCAUUUGUUGUUUUUAUUUUUUUUUAAAUCAGAAAUUAUUUUUAUUUAAAAACAUUAUUCAUAUAUAAUAUAAUAGUUUAAGUUUGGAAGAUUAAUCUAUAUAUAUAAAUUAUGUAUAUUUUUAAAAAAAUAAUUUAAGAUAUUAUAUAUUGAGUAACUGAAUAAAAGCUGAAUUUCUUAUCUUGAAAAUCAAAUAUUUAUAUUUUUGUCUUCACGUUAUACUCACCAAUCCAUUAUUGAUAUUUAUAUCUCUGUAUGUUUUUUUAAAAAACUUAGUUUUAAGUAAUAAACGAAUUCAUCACCUAUAAUGUUCUGUAAACUAUAUUUGAAAACUCUCUAAAAUUAUAUUUUAAGCUUAAUAUUACAAUUAUUUAAUUUAAUUUAUUUUAAGCAUAAUAUAUGCUAAACCAACUUAAAUUAUAUUUACAAUAUGAUCAUCCUAAACCAGUUAAUAAACCAAAAACAAUACUAAACCAACAUGAACCAAUACCUGAUUCGGCGAGGAAGGAAGUGUUUCGGGAUAAACGCUUAAAUGAAUGUUAACAAUAUAAUUAUAGAUUAGAUUACUUUAAAUUUGUAAGAAUACUUUUGAGUCUAUGAAAAGCAAUUCAAUUCUCAUGAAUAAGUUUGGCUUUUGGAAGUUGCGGGUUUUCCAACAAUGAAUCCACCUAAUAAAAAGUUUGUUGUUAUAAGAAAUCACUUUCAAGGUCAUUAAAGGUUUUUGGGACGGCAAGAGUUGAUGGUGGAACCAUUUUUUUGCUCGAGUGAUUUGAAGCUUUCCUUGAUAGUGUGAGGUUGAUGUUGAUGGAAUAAUGAGUUUUAUAGGAACUUUCUUGAUGUAAAACUAUACAUUUUUUUUUGUUUAAUGUGGUAUUUCCAUUUUUAUAUAAUUUACUACCAUUUUAAGAUAGAUGUACAUUUUAAGAUAGAUGCUUAAAUCUUAAUGUAUUUUUUCUAUUUUUUAAAAUGUUUAUUUCCAUUUCUUAUAUGUUUUUUACGUAAUAUCUAUAUUUUAUAUUUUAAAAUAUAUAUUUAAAUCUUAAUGUACUUUUUCCAUUUUUUUCAAAUUGUGUAUUUACUUAUAUUAUAUAUUUUACAUUUUAAGAUAGAUGUUUAAUGCUUAAUGAACUUUUUCCAUUCUUUUAAAAAAGUUGUGUAUUUACUUAUUAUUAUAUAGAUAAUUCAUAUAUUAUAUAUUUAAUGCUUAAUGUUUAUUUCCAUUUCAUGACUUUUUAUUUACUUAAUAUCUCUAUUUUAAAUUUUAAGAUAGAUGUUUAAAUCCUAAUGUACGUUUUCCUUUUUUUUAAAUUGUAUAUUUCCAUUUGUGAUACUUUCUAUUUACGUAAUAUCUAUAUUUUAAAUUUUAAGAUAUAUUUUUAAAUCUUAAUGUAAUUUUCCAUUUUUUAAAUUGGGUAUUUACUUAUAUUAUAUAUUUACUUAUGAUUUAUUUUUCUUUAUAUUGUGUAUUUCUAUUUCUUAUACUUUCUAUUUACUAAUAAUUUUAUAUUUUAAGAUAGAUUUACAUUUUAAGAUAGAUAUUUAAAUACUAAUGUACUUUUUCCAUUUUUUAAAUUGUGUAUUUCUUUUUCUUAUACUUUCUAUUUGGGUAAUAUCUAUAUUUUACAUUUUAAGAUAGAUGUUUAAAUCUUAAUAUACUUUUUCCAUUGUUUUUAAGUUGUGUAUUUCUUUUUCUUAUACUUUAUAUUUACUUAAUAUCUAUAUUUUACAUUUUAAGAUAGAUGUUUAAUAUUUAAUGUACUCUUUCCAUUUUUUUAAAAAUUGUGCAUUUACUUAUUAUUGUAUAUAUUAUUCGUAUAUUUAUAUAUUUAUAAUAUUUACUUAUUAUUUAUUUUUCUAUAUAUUGAGUAUUUCUCUUUCUUAUACUUUAUAUUUAGUUAAUAUCGAUAUUUUAUAUUUUAAGAUAGAUGUUUAAAUCUUAAUGUAUUUUUCCAUUUUUAAUGUAAAACGGCAAUGUUUAAUAGAACAACUUGGACCAAUAGUCAAAUAGUUAUAUUUAUGUUUUUUUCUUUUUUAUAUAAAAUGGUAAUGUUACAUUAUGAAGAUAAGCCAUUUUUUUUAGUGAAAAUUGUAAUCUUACAUAUGUUUAAUGUAGUUUUUCCAUUUUUUUUAUGUUGUAUGUUUACAUAUUAUUGUUAUUUUUAAAUGUAAAAUGGUAAUCUUACAUAUGCUUAAUGUAGUAUUUCCAUUUUUUAUGUUGUAUGUUUACAUAUUAUUUAUUAUUUUCUAAAUUAUAUAUAUAAUGUUUUUUUUUUACAAAAUAGUAAUGUUACAUUAUGGAGAUAAACCGUCUUUUCUUUAGUGAAAAAUGGUAAUCUUACAUAUGUUUAAUGUAGUUUUUCCAUUUUUAUGUUGUAUGUUUACAUAUUAUUUUUUUAAAUAAAAAUGUAAAAUGGUAAUCUUACAUAUGUUUAAUGUAGUAUUUCCAUUUUUUAUGUUGUAUUUUUACAUAUAUUUAUUAUUUUCAAAAUUAUAUAUAAUGUUUUUUGUUUUUUUUUAUAAAACGGUAUUAUUACAUUAUGAAGAUAAGCCGUCUUUUUUUAAGUGAAAGAUGGUAAUCUUACAUAUUUUUAAUAUAGUUUUUCUAUUUUUAUGCUGUAUGUUUACAUAUUAUUUAUAAUUUUUGAAAAUUGGUAAUAUUAAAAUGUAAAACUAUAUUUUAUGCCACGUGUCAUCUUUCGGGAGAAGUUUUUUUGCUGAUGUGGACGCUCUAUGGAGCUUCAAAAGGUCCAUUUUAUUAGUAUAGAUUAGUAAUAUUAAAAUGUAAUGUCACGUGUCAUCUUUAGGGAGAAGUUUUUUUCGCUGAUGUGGACGCUCUAUGGAGUCUCAAAAGGUCCCUUUUAUUAGUAAGGAUUUUUGGGUUUCGAUAUUUUGGGUAUUAGGUAUGUCGGAUCUAGGAAAUUUGGUACCGAUUAGAUUGUUUAGAAUUUUGGAUCGUAUCGGUUUGGUACCUAUAGAAAAUUUAGUUCCAUUUGUUAAAAUUUAAAUCUAUAGAAAAUUACUGACUUUAUCCAAAAUUACUAGUUCGGAUUCGGUUUUUUUAUAUCCAAUUUUUUUUUCAAAAAUAACAAAAAUAUCUUCAAAUAAAUGAAAAUAUGUGCUACCUAAAAAUUAAAUAAUAUAUUCAAAUUUAUAACUAUUAUUUUAAAUAUUUGAAUUAUUAUAAAUAUUAACAUAACUAAUAUUUCUAGAUAUAUUCUAUCCGUUUCAUAAUUGAUGAUGUUUUAGAAGAUUUUUGGUGUUUCAAAAUAUAUGAUGUUUUGAUAUUUUUAUGUUAUUUUUAACUCUAUUGAAAACUGUGUAACCAAUUAGAUGUUGUAAUCAUUUUUGUAACUGGUUGGAUGAUUUUUAAAUUAUAUUUUGAAACUACUUUUUAAGAGAAAAGUAAAUUUCUUAAUCUUUGUGCAUUAAAGAAUAACAUCAUGUAUUGUGAAACAGAGGGAGUAUAUGUUUACAUUUCGGAUAUUUUUGGAUAUAUGUAAUUUUCGGGUUCAGUUCAUGCUAGGGUUUGAUUUUUCAGAUAUAGAAAAUUAUGUAUCGUUCGGAUAUUUAUGUCGAAACAGGUUGGUUUGAAUUUCGGAUCCGUUAAGUCUAGAAAUUACUUAUUAAUAUAUUAUGUUUCAUUUAAGUUUAAUUAUUAUACUUUUUACUAUGUCUAAAUUUUAGUUCUCGACGAUGUUGCUCUGCUUGAUCGGAUGGUGGAAAAUGGUCAUCCACCUGACCUUGUCACUUACAGAACAAUUGUAAACAGAUUGUGUAAGAUAUUAUACAGUGCCGCCAUGACGUCAUAGCGAUGCUCAAAAUCUUUUCAGUGAAAUGCACGAGAAAGGAAUCGUUCCGGAUGUAAUCACCUACAGUUGUAUGAUAUAUGGUUUUUGUAUCUCUGGUAGAUGGAGUGAUGGCGAGCGGUUGUUGCGCGAAAUGGUAGAAACAGAUAUCAAUCCCAAUGUUGUAAAACACAUUGAUCAAUGCAUUGGUCAAAGGAGGCAAGUUCAUUGUGCCGACGAACUAUACAGUGAGAUGCUCCACAUGGGUGUAUAUCCUAAUACAGUCACAUAUAAUUCAAUGAUCGAUGGACUAUGCAGACAGAACCGCUUAGAUGAGGCAAAACGUACAUUCGAUUCGAUGGGUAGUAAAGGCUGCUCUCCAAAAGUAGUGACCUUCACUACACUCAUUAAUGGCUAUUGUAAGGCUGGGAAGGUUGACGAUGGGAUGGAGCUUGCCCACGAGAUGUACCAAAGAGGAAUAGUUGCUGAUGAAGUUACUUACAAAACUUUGAUUUAUGGGUUUCGUCAUGUGGGUCAUUGAAGCCCUAGACAUUUUCCAGGAGAUGAUUUCCAGUGGUAUAUGUCCUGAUACCAUUACUAUCCGGAAUAUGCUGAUUGAUUUAUGGAGUAAGGAGGAACUUAAAAUGGCUGUGACAAUGUUUUAGUAUCUCCAGAAGAGUAUGGUAUGUCCUCCUCAACACAUAUUUUUUUCAAUUUCUUUGCUUACCUUUCGUGUGUUUGGAGAAGAAUGUAAACAUAUCCAGGAAAGUUUGCUACCAAAUUUCCAAUUUCAGCUGAAAAAUACAGAAUCCUUAUUAACCCGCUGAUUGGUUGGGUGUGCUUGUUUUGCAGCGUUAAUAAUUACAGGAUGAAUGAAGAACAAAUGUUUUUAUGUCUUUGGCUGCAGAAUCAGAGGCGUGUAACGAUCAGGAGAAGAAGCGGGACUUCGAGGCUCUGUUGGAAAUCAUGACGGACCUGUAUCCAGAUUUUGCAUCAGCGCUGAAGGCUAUGCGUGGGACUGACUUAGAGCGAGGGGAGCCGUCGAGGGAUCAGGGUGAGAUGGCCGAGCUCGGCCAAACUACGCCCACAGAUAUGGCAGCAGAUCUUUUGCCACGAGAUGGAGA
This 17341-nucleotide long non-coding RNA is filed under the name Brassica rapa (field mustard). Its description in RNAcentral is "long non-coding RNA (BRAP_LNC004576)". Lineage: Eukaryota; Viridiplantae; Streptophyta; Magnoliopsida; Brassicales; Brassicaceae. The record is from RNAcentral.